GAUUAGAAAGCGAAUUUAUCGCAUUUAGUUUCGACCUAAACUUUGGACUCCAAGACCUCUAAUUU
Molecule: transfer RNA, 65 nt
Filed under: Pagurus gracilipes
Lineage: Eukaryota; Metazoa; Arthropoda; Malacostraca; Decapoda; Paguridae
Description: tRNA-Arg
Source: RNAcentral